GGUGUCAUGGCAGAGCGGUUAUUGCGGAAUACUGUUAAUAUUUUCAUGAAAAUGACAGGGGUUCGAAUCCCCUUGACACCU
Non-coding RNA from Athelia sp. TMB, 81 nucleotides. Lineage: Eukaryota; Fungi; Basidiomycota; Agaricomycetes; Atheliales; Atheliaceae. The record is from the annotation of a GenBank genome assembly.